UCUGCGGCAGGGAAGCGUAUCCGAGUCUUACGUCGUUGUUCACGGAAGCACACCGGAGAUCAGUUGCAAAAGUAACGUGCGAGGGACGCAGCUCCCCGUAGCAUCCGGGUCGCAGGGCAAGUGCCCUAAGAAACGCAGAAUUGGGGGAACAGGGUAGGGACCUCCCAUGGAGGAUGCGGGAAAGAGAGUGCCCCUGACAAAAGGUCUGAAAUGCGGUCCCUGACUCUUCCUGGCGGUGUGACCUGGGGCAAGUGAUUUCAUCUCUCUGAACCUCCAUUUCUUUGUCAAGUGGACCUAACAGUCACACACCAAAUUUCAUUAGAAACCCUCAACAUGUGUGUAUACAGAAUAGCCCUGGAGCAAAGGAGACCCUGUACAUGCCUACCAACAAGCCCAUCAGGAACACACCUGAAGUGGGGUUUAUUCAUUCUGGGAGAAGCAGGCUCCCUGUGGGGAGCCCGAUGUGGGACUCGAUCCCAGGACCCUGGAUCACGACCUGAGCCAAAGGCAGACGCUUAACCACUGAGCCAUCCAGAUUUAUUUAUGAUAGAGAGAGAGAGAGAGAGGCAGAAGGAGAAGCAGGCUCCAUGCCGGGAGCCCGACGCGGGACUCGAUCCCGGGACUCCAGGAUCGCGCCCUGGGCCACAGGCAGACGCCAAACCGCUGAGCCACCCGGGGAUCCCCGAACCUAGAAAUUUUAAUAUAAACAUAUUCUGAAAUUGUAUUGAUGCUUGAUUGUCACCUGUAUUUUUGUUUCUGCUUAUGAUCAUACUGGCUCCAACUAGAAGUACUUCAAUAAUGUCACACUAAAUAGAAAAGAUGUGAACUAAAUAUAUAAAUGAUACACUCAAGCUAAAUGGAGACCAGACGAUGUCCUAUCAAUGUUUUCAUAGUAUUCCAGGAAAAAGUGUGGGAGAAUUGAGUCAUCACCCAAAUAUCAUGGGAGGAGAUACACUGAACUCAGAAGAACCCAUGUUUUACAGGGAAGUGCCAUAGUCAAGUGGCAAAGCCAAAAGAGAAUAGAGUAGUUAUUAGAUUUUGUUGAUUUCAAGAUCAAAGUGGCUUUUUCACUUCUGAUAAAAUCAGCAGAGUAAGAAGAUGUGAUGAAAUGACCUUCCUUAUACCAGUUACCACUUAGCAAGUGAUUAUAAGUACUUGCUGAUGAGUCUAAUUUUAUAACUUUGAGCACAAAUUGUUGAAAGGAACUGUAAUCCGAUGAUAUGACUUGAUCAAUAAUACACCAAAACAGACCCGAAUUAGUUUUAUCUAUCCAAGAGAGUCAUAACCUGACUUCAAUCAGUGGCUUUCUCUUCCUCUGUUACUUUGGAUGCUAUUGAACAAAUUUCUUCUUGAAAUAUUUUCUCCCUUCAGGGUCUAUGACAUGACUGUAUCUUUCUACUACCCUAAGAGCUCCUUCUCAGCUUCCUUGGAGGGCUUACUUCUGAACUGUACUAUUUCCCUGGUUCCAUUUCAGCUGUCUUCUCUGCAAUCACAUCCUCACUUGUCACUCAACUACCAAUACAGCCAUCACUCCCAAAUCUCAAGCUCCCUGCUACUUUUGAACUUGACACCCAGAGCUUCCACUUGAGUAUUUUUAAAAACUACUGCAUAGUUAUAAAUGUCAAAAACAGAUACUCUCUUUUUGUAAAUCUUGCAAAGGGACUAAAGAUUUCCCUAGUAAAUCAGAAAUCCUGGCUUUUCCGCUUUGGAGUUUCAAGUUACUGUAACCCUUCUGUUGUGCUGCGAUGGUCCUAAAUAAACUAAGUGGCCUGAAGUGUCCAAUAAUAGUCCUCAAGAAGAAAUCCACCAUAAUGGUGGUGGUGGUGGAUGUGGAGGUGGAGGGAAAAGGCUAGGCUGGUAAGUCAGGUCAAUGCCAGAGCCUGUCUGGUCUUAGGGGAAGGUCAGUUGGGAACCAAGUAAUGAUGUUGCAUCCUGUCCUGACCCACUAUCUUGGACCUUGGGGUUCCAAGGCCCAGAAGUGGUUGAUUUUCUGUACGUGAAAAUACUUGUCACUAGAGUUGUAACUGGGUCUGUGCAGUGGUUAGGCCUCUAACCCUUAGACAUGAGAGCUGGAUGUACUGUUUUCUGUACCAGUCUCACAAAAGCAGAAGUAAGAAACUUAGGCAGUCAGAUCAGACUUCUCAGUUUUUUUUUUUUUGCCUGCAUAACAGAAGUAAACAGGACUGACUCAUUUGGACAAAGUACACCUGAGGGGUCUUACUUUCCAAGGAAGAGCUCAGGGAAUGAUGAAUAGACUUUUCAAAAACCAAAUUUGCUUUAUUUAUGUACUAACUUAAGUAUGGCUUUAUUUUCAACCACGGCAGGUGAAAUAGGAUAUAUGUGAAAGCUUCUAGAACAAGUCUGACACUUGGUGUGUACUCAAUGAUAUUUGGAUUUGAAUCUAAAUCUUCUUUAUUUAUUUUAAAAAUGUUUUAUUUAUUUAUUCAUGAGAGACACAGUGAUAGGGACAGAGACAUAGGCAGAGGGAGAAGCAGGCUCCAUACCGGGAGCUGGAUGUGGGACUCAAUCCCAGGACCCUGGGAUCACACCCUGAGCCAAAGGCAGAUGCUCAACCACUGAGCCACCCAGGCAUCCAUCCUCUAAAUCUUGUUUAAUAAGACAUACAUACUACUGUGUUUGAGAAAUUAUAGGGAAGAACCUGGCUUCAAGUUGGCAUUUCCUUCUGUGACCCCACAGAGCAACUGUCAUCUUUCUCUCUUAAGAGGAAUCAAUCCCAUUUUUAAUAGGACUGGAUUUGGGAAGGAUUUGGAGUCAGCAGAGUCCGUUAAAUUCAUGCACGUGUGAUUCCACAAUAUAGACCAUGUUUAUAGGAUUAGUUCUUCUUCUUCUGUGUCUAUCUCCUUACCCCAGGCCUCCAUAGUCUCUCAUCUGCAUUGCUGCGAUAGUUUACUUGGGCACUCCACCUCUACUCUUUAUUCUACAUGCAGCAACAAAGCAUGAUCGUCUUUACAUAGACGUAGGAUCACAUCAUUCUCUUGCCUGAUACCCAUCAAUGGCUUCCCCCAUUGAAUUCUGAAUAAAACUCAUCAUUCUUGCUGUGCCCUGAAAGGCCCCAAAUGAUCUGGCCACUAUCCAUCCCUGAACCCCUUCACUUUUUCCUACCAUCAAGGUUAUCACACUUCUUUCGGUGUUAACUUGAAUGUCACCUGUGAAGUCUUCUCUGAACAUCCUGUCAAACUAGCAAAGUGUGUUCUCUUCUGCUAUUCUGUAGCUCAACAGCCUCUUGUUUAAGACUUCAUAUUCUAUAUUAUUUUAUCAAUUUGUAUGUUUCCCUUUUUUGUUCAUCUAUUCCUUGCACUAGAAUUGUAAGCACAGAAUCACGACUGACCCAUGCAAAACUAUCCAUAUCUACAGCAGCCAUUGGAACUCAGUAAGUCUUUGUCAGAUGAAGGAAAUGAGAUGAUUUUGUUGAGUGCUCCCAAGUUAUGGAAUUGUACAUAAAAUCUGCCCCCAUGAACCACAGAGAAUAACUAUCUGAUAUAUUUAUUUUUCCAAGGGACUGAGUUUCUGACUAUAUACAUUCAUGCUGAAUACUUAAAUACAUACCAGAGUAUUCAGCAAACUGUGGUUACAAACAGUAUCCAAAUAUAUUAUGUAAUAAUGACAUAAAUGAAGACGUUCUAUUCAUAAAACCAGGCUAAUAUGUGUAACUUCAAAACUAAUUGUAAUUCGAUCUGAAAUGCUAUUCUUUACCAAAAAAAGAGGGGAAAAAUGUUCACUCUCACUAGUAAUCAUAUGAACUCACCUUAGGAAAACAAAGUGUCAUCUUCCACAUUCAAAAUAGGCAGUCUUUAUUUUUAAGGUAAAAUUUAUUUGGCCUGUCUGAGGCAAAAUGAACAGAUUAUCCUACAAUGCUGGUGAAAAGUCAAUUGGUAAAGGUUUUUCUCAGAAAAAUAAUUUAAUAGUAUGCACUAAAAUAAUUAAUGUUUUGGAUCUACAUUGUCUGCCUGGCAAGUCCUUAUUGGUAAAAUACUAAUGAAUUGAUAGAGAAAUUUAGCUACCUGGAUUUUUACAAGGUUGCUUGUAAUUUGAAAAGUCCUAAAUAUAUAAAGCUAUGUAACUAUAACUAUGUUGUAUGAAUAAAAUAAUAGAGGAAUAGUGCAUAUAUAUAAUGGUGUAUUUAGAAAGAUUAUUAUACUAUAUAAUUAAUGGAAAAAUUUUCCA
Nyctereutes procyonoides (raccoon dog) is the source of this 4185-nucleotide long non-coding RNA. RefSeq lists it as uncharacterized. NCBI's taxonomy places the organism in Eukaryota, Metazoa, Chordata, Mammalia, Carnivora, Canidae. The record is from RefSeq and is a predicted model, not a curated record. The transcript has 3 exons.